GGGUGAUACAAUGCUUUAUUUAUUGGAUUCAUUAAUGCAGUCUCAGGAAAAAUAGCGUUGAAGUUAGGUAAGCGGGAGUAGAUCGUUAAGGAUGAGUUCAGUGGAGCCAUGUGGGAGACAGAAUUCCUGCACGGAGCCCAAGCCCGCCUGUGCUGAAAUGGCUGUGUGUGAAACACUGUCCUGAGACCACAGGGGGUGAUAUUUAAUGAAAGCUUUUAUGAAGACAUUAGUGACAUAUUGGGGGAAGGGGGGAAAGCCAACAACUCUUAAACAUAAAGAAUGGUAAGAAGAAAGCAAGUAAGCCUAGAGCUGGCUGAGUGUCUUACAUGUUAAAUGUACCCCCUAGCUGAGAUCAGCGUUGUCCCCAAAACAUUUCCUGUAAGCCUGUUUCAUACAAGUGCUGCAGCCUGCUUUUACUAUGUCUUCAGCUGAACAGGAAACUGAAAUUACACCACAGCAGUGAUAAAUGCUCUGACUUUUGGAACUCUUCUGCGCUUGUAUUUGCAAUAAGAUUCUCAUUGUUAUUCCUCACUUUCAUGAAGGUCUCAGCAUCCACAUAACCUGUAAGCACCUAUCUUGUCAAUCUUUUAUCUUUUCGUGGAGAAAUCUGUAU
RNAcentral lists this long non-coding RNA (613 nucleotides) under Anas platyrhynchos platyrhynchos (common mallard). RNAcentral describes it as "lncRNA (ENSAPLG00000020601.1)". Lineage: Eukaryota; Metazoa; Chordata; Aves; Anseriformes; Anatidae. The record is from RNAcentral.